AUCAUCCCUUCCCAGCGACCAGUACCCGGAUCCCGUGACUCCAGAGAAAUGUCACAAUCAACGAGCCAAAUAACUAUUCCAAGCUAUAAAGGUUAGGUGAGAAAGGGCAAUGGAAUGCCUGGAAAUUCUGCGAGCGAUUUCUUCUUUUGGUCUGGGUUCUUGUCUUGUGUAAGUUUAUUCCCGCCACCAUUGUGUGCGCCGGCGAGGGACUAGACUAUAAAAAUAAAAUAACAUAAAAUAAAAUAAACUCAAAUCCAAACAUAUUUUGCCUUCUUGAAACCCGAACCGGGGGCGGGGGAUGGCCGAAACCUCGAGGCCGAUUGUUUUUAUGUUUAUUCUUUAGUUAACUAUUGACUAACGAGUUAACUAGUUGCUAGUGGGUGUUGAUUAGCAUGGGUUGAGAGAAGAGAAAGCCCAAUUUUCAAGUUGUUUCUUCAAAACUUCAAACUGGAGCAUCUGUGUUAAGAGAAACUACUCCCUGAAUACUUUUGCCACGAGUGAAGCCACUAACCGUGGCAUAAUUCACCAUCCGCUCUGAUAAAGUCGAUAUUAUUGAUGUCAAUAAGAACCAGCACAUAGUUCAGUAAUUCAGUAAUAUCACCUGAUAUAAAAAGUAUCUCAACCAUCUCUACCCUUUUUGCCUGUUACGAAUUUUUGCUCCAAAGGGAAAUCCUCUUAACCGCGACAAAAAUGCUUAGAGCCUCCUUAUAUAUCAUAUGAUUCCCGAGGGCCUCUGUGACAUAACGGACAUUGAAUGUUUCAUAUGAUACGAGCAGCAGCAUACGGGCAGUACACGGGGAUCUUCCGUGGCAUGAUGAUAUCCGUGCCAUCGUGGUCUUUGUCCGGGGUCCUAACUUUCUAAAUGGUCUCUAUGACAUGAUGACAGUGUCUAGGGACGCCCGUGGGUGCCAUGAUGGGGCUGCCUUUGGCAUGACAGAUAGAUGUCUUGAUACUUUGCAAAUCAUUCG
Molecule: small RNA, 968 nt
Filed under: Histoplasma ohiense
Lineage: Eukaryota; Fungi; Ascomycota; Eurotiomycetes; Onygenales; Ajellomycetaceae
Description: hypothetical lncRNA
Source: RNAcentral